UAUGACACAAUCUUUAGCAUAUGUCUAUGUAAAGGUUAUGAGGAGACAGAGACACACAUGCAAGAAUCCCUUGCUAAUAAUUUUUAUUGUUUUUUUUUGGGGAAUUUAUAGAUUAAAACCAUUACUCUGAAGUUUUAUGAAUCAUAAUACAUUCUAUUUGAAUCUUUGAUAGUAAGUAGAAGUGAUACGUGAACGAGUUGUAUGUGUUUUGCUUCCUUCAUAAGUUACAACUUUUCAAAUUUGUACACCAUGAAAUUGGAUAGACUCAUUAAUUCAUGAUUUGGCAUGUACAUGAUUAAAACUUCAUCUUCACCUUUCUCUAACAUAUCACCGCAAUCUAUUUUGAAUUUCAAACUCAACAAGGACAAUUAAACACGAUGGUUUCGCUCGUUGAAAGACUUAAUCCAACACCUUAGUGCACGAGCCCUCCAACCCCUCCUUUUUAGGAUCCACCUCAUUUCAAUAACCUGUCUCCUACUGCCUUUUUUUUGAGAAAUGGGAAAGUCAAAAUGCUUAGAGAUGAAAAUGAGAGAAUGUCUACAAUAUCUAGAAUAACAAUCUCUUUAUUUAUGGGUAAAUUUCACAAACAGUCACUGAACUUAACUAAAAAUUUCAGAAUAGUCACUGAAAUUACAAACUUGCAGAAACGGUCACUGAAGUUUUGGGACGGUUUCACCAACGGUCACUCUUUUAAAUUGGUAGCACUAUAUGACUUUAAUUCAAACUUAAAGGACCAGAACACGUGAACACAAAACCUUGAGGACCUCAAGUGAAAAUUUCAUCUAAACCCUUACUCCCAACCCCACAAACCCAAACGACCAGCAGCCACCGCCUCACUUCGGUCAGUCACCGAAGAUCCAAGAAGCUUCUCUCCGGUAUUCUCAUCUAAGUCCGAACAAUCCUUGGGCAAUUUCUUAGUAUAGUAUUUAGCAACAGAGGCAGAUGACCUUAUAUGAUGAUUUCCAGCAGUCCCUACUAUAACCUUAGUUGCACAGUAGGAAUUGGCCUCUCGAACAGGAAUUUUCCGAACUGAUGAACCUCGGCAAACCUUUAGCUUUAGAUCCACGUGCAACAUCACUAGUUAAAUCCCGACUAAAGCUAAAGGUUAAAUCCCAACUCAAAAAUGAUGAUUCAAUCAUAGAAAUUAAAUUAUUUUCUUAUUCUUGCAAGUGGAAACAAGAGGAGAAAAUAUAUAAAAGCAAAAAUGCAUGUGGGCUUGACUGCUUAAGAGAAUAGAUCCACUGACAAAGCUCAAAUUUUUACCGAAUCACUAUCAAUUCCAGAAAAAAACUCAUCAACUGUGUGACAUUUCAAGAAAAUUGCAGGGAUCCCAAAUGAUAUUUGACAAGAAAUAUUGAAAAUUGUGAGAAAAUUACCUAUUUCAGAUUGCAGAAACCUUCAUAAACUGCAAGAAUGGAGUCAAAUGCUUUUACCAAAGAGAAGAUGAUUUACCAUCACGAUCCACAAUUUCCGCACAGCCCAAAUCAAUUAUUCACUAAAUGAAAAUACAAGUAAAAAAAUCUUUACUUCCAGAUGCCCCAGACACGACUAGACGAGGAAAAGCAUAGUCAAGAAGAGCUUCAAGUAUUGGAAGAAGAAGACCACCAACAAUUCUCCAAUCGAGAAUCUCGAGCAAAAUCUCAUUACAGUGGAGGAGGAGGCGGCUGCAGGUUGGACGGAGAUGUGAGUUGCGGCUGCUGGUCGUUUGGGUUUGGGGGUGGGGGUUUAGAUGAAAUUUUCACUUGAGGUCCUCAAGGUUUUGUGUUCACAUGUUCUGGUCCUUUAAGUUUGAAUUAAAAUCAUAACGAUCCUAAUGGUACUACUAACUUAACAGAGUGACCAUUAGUGAAAUCCCCCUAAAAUUUCAGUGACC
This 1873-nucleotide long non-coding RNA is filed under the name Olea europaea subsp. europaea. The record is from RNAcentral. Lineage: Eukaryota; Viridiplantae; Streptophyta; Magnoliopsida; Lamiales; Oleaceae.